RNAcentral lists this ribosomal RNA (341 nucleotides) under uncultured Desulfobulbus sp. RNAcentral describes it as "bacterial SSU rRNA". It matches the Rfam family "Bacterial small subunit ribosomal RNA", at positions 1041 to 1382 of the family's 1533-position model. The record is from RNAcentral. Lineage: Bacteria; Pseudomonadati; Thermodesulfobacteriota; Desulfobulbia; Desulfobulbales; Desulfobulbaceae.
CUGCAUGGCUGUCGUCAGCUCGUGUCGUGAGAUGUUGGGUUAAGUCCCGCAACGAGCGCAACCCUUGCCUUUAGUUGCCAGCAGUUCGGCUGGGCACUCUAAAGGGACUGCCGGUGUUAAACCGGAGGAAGGUGGGGAUGACGUCAAGUCCUCAUGGCCUUUAUGACCAGGGCUACACACGUACUACAAUGGCCGAUACAAAGGGCAGCGACACUGCGAGGUGAAGCCAAUCCCGUAAAAUCGGUCUCAGUCCGGAUUGGAGUCUGCAACUCGACUCCAUGAAGUUGGAAUCGCUAGUAAUCGUGGAUCAGCAUGCCACGGUGAAUACGUUCCCGGGCCUU